UACUGGGCAGGGGCAGGUCAUAUUUGGGCUUCCUCUUGCGGGGGUUGGGUUUUAGAGCACGUUGUGGCUGACUGGCUGGCCCUGAAGAAGAUCAACAUGAAGGGCUGUUUGGAGAGGGGGCCCCUUCGACCCACCGAUCCUACCCACCCAGCUGACAAGGACCGGUCUGAUGGAGAGAAAACAGUGUGUGUGCGCGUGUAUGUGGGAUAUAAUCGUGAGAUAUGCAGGUGACAUUUCCACGUGGAUGACAGCACAUAAUCAACAAGACGGAGAUGCUCUUCAUCAGAGGGAAUGCCUGCCCGUUCACAGAUGUUAGAUAAUCCGAGAUGAUCACAUUUACAUUCCAGCCCUUGUCAACUCCAGAAUUGACUACUUCAACUCACACCCUGCUGGAAUCCCUGCAUUCUCAGAUUCCCCUGUUAUUAAUCUCUAUAUUGUAAUCAAUAAAGUGUUUUAAAAUGCU
Molecule: long non-coding RNA, 463 nt
Organism: Oncorhynchus keta (chum salmon)
Lineage: Eukaryota; Metazoa; Chordata; Actinopteri; Salmoniformes; Salmonidae
Exons: 2
Source: RefSeq, a predicted model, not a curated record